AUUAAAAAAAAAAGGGAGAAAAGAAAAGUUAUGUUUUGAUCUAUUGUAUUUGUAUCACAUUUUGGGUAUCUGAGCUUUGAUUUGGGAAGUUGGAUGAUAUUAGGACUUGUGGAUCUGCUAGAAUGCAUAUAUUUUGGAUUUUUCCUGUUUAACAAUUUAGAAAGUCCAAAUCCAUAAUUAGGUCAAAAUUUGAUGUUAUUUCUAAGGCUAUUUAUUUUUUACAAGAAAGAAAUCUAUCUAACAAGUAAAUUCUAAAAAGAAAUUAGAGGGUUGUGUAUGUUCCUAUUCCUAGGGCUGUUUCAUUUUUAUAAUUGUAGGAGUACUUGUAUCAUACCAUUGCAUUGCAUUCCCAAUUUCCACUUUUUAUUUAGUUGCUUGAAAGAAAUAAAGGUACUUUUUAACCUAUAAUUCUAUUUCUCCCUUAAAUUUUUUUUUUUUGGAACAGGGUCUGACUGUUGCCAAUAU
This 465-nucleotide unclassified non-coding RNA is filed under the name Hevea brasiliensis (rubber tree). Lineage: Eukaryota; Viridiplantae; Streptophyta; Magnoliopsida; Malpighiales; Euphorbiaceae. The record is from RNAcentral.